This 222-nucleotide unclassified non-coding RNA is filed under the name Hevea brasiliensis (rubber tree). The record is from RNAcentral. Lineage: Eukaryota; Viridiplantae; Streptophyta; Magnoliopsida; Malpighiales; Euphorbiaceae.
GUUACGGGAUUUCUAAUCAAGGGUGUUGCCCUUCUCUCUGUUUUGCUUAUGAUUCUUCCAUUUUCUAAACAAACCAACAGCCCUUGAAAAAAAGAAAGAGACAGAUAGAGUACACUACAGUUUCUGGGUCCCCCCCCCUCCAAAACAAGUCAUUUAGGUUCUGGACUGUGAUUUUCUUGAGCUGAGAUCUAUUGGAAACAACUUCUCUACCCCACAAAGGUA